UACGAGGGAUCCUAGCGUUGUUCGGAAUCAUCGUGGCGUAAAGGGUGUGUAGGCGGACUUGUAAGUCAGUUGUGAAAGCCCCGGGCUCAACCCGGGAAGUGCUUCUGAUACUGCUUGUCUUGAGUAUUGGAUAGGUGAGUGGAAUUCCAGGUGUAGUGGUGAAAUACGUAGAUAUCUGGAGGAACACCGGCGGCGAAGGCGGCUCACUGGCCAUAUACUGACGCUGAAACACGAAAGCGUGGGUAGCAAACAGG
This 254-nucleotide ribosomal RNA is filed under the name uncultured bacterium. Its description in RNAcentral is "partial 16S ribosomal RNA". It matches the Rfam family "Bacterial small subunit ribosomal RNA", at positions 524 to 776 of the family's 1533-position model. The record is from RNAcentral.